UUUGAUUUCCGAACCAAUAGCAAAGUAAAUCUAAUAUUUUAAUAGGUUGGCCACACUCUGAUGACGUGUAUUUAAAGAUGUUCCCUAAUAUUGAGCCACCGCGGCCUCUUUAUCAUUCAGUCUCUUGUAGAGUCAGUCUCUUGACAGUGCGACUUUCCCACACGAACUCGGCGUGUUUUAAGGGCUGCUCGAAUCCUGUAAGCUCUUUUUUCCUUUUUCGGUCAUUUUAAACAAAGAAGUUUUUAAAAGGUUAAUGAAUAAUGUGUGUUUAGCUUCCAUGCCGCAAUCUAUCUUCCAUUUGCAAAAUCUUGAGAAAAUAUUCAGGGAAAAAUCAAAUUAAAACCCUAUCAGCAACGUCAUAGCCCUUUUAAACAUCACCGCUAGCCUGAAGGAAACACUGACCCUCUUAGUGCGCAAAAAGUUUUUGCGUUUUUUCUUCACUGAAUGUAAUGACAAACAAUAUUACUCUUAACUAGUAAAAGCAAAAUUGACCCACUAUAGGUGACAAAAUCCAUAAAGUACCAACGGUGAACACCACUGAAAUCCUUCGAGGAAUCUCUCAAAAUGCUUAAAGCGUGGGAAAAACAUAAAAUUGCCUAGCUUCAGACCAUGCCCUACUGUCAAGCAGUUGGAAAGUUUCUAAAUUCAUUUCACCAGCUUCUUCUAACCUACAUCCUGCUUCCGUGAUGGAAAGAUUUUAGUCUGUGUGAUGCUUUUAAGCAGUGGUAGAAAAGGGAAUAAAACUGUUAUAGUGUUAAGCUUC
This is a long non-coding RNA of Pocillopora damicornis (cauliflower coral), 763 nucleotides long. The record is from RefSeq and is a predicted model, not a curated record. Lineage: Eukaryota; Metazoa; Cnidaria; Anthozoa; Scleractinia; Pocilloporidae.